Juglans regia (Persian walnut) is the source of this 3650-nucleotide RNA transcript. It is a transcript of the gene named lon protease homolog 2, peroxisomal-like, with no coding region annotated. Lineage: Eukaryota; Viridiplantae; Streptophyta; Magnoliopsida; Fagales; Juglandaceae. The record is from RefSeq and is a predicted model, not a curated record. The transcript is spliced from 18 exons.
UCUACUUUGUCUCUUCAACCAACUCACACGUUUUCGUUACGUACCCCCCAGCUUCCAUUUUCCUCUUUUCUUCUCCCUAGAGUCUGUGUCCUGAGCUGCAAAGAUGGCUGAGUCGGUAGAGCUCCCGAGUCGCCUCGGCAUCCUUCCCUUCCGUAACAAGGUUCUCUUGCCUGGUGCCAUCAUUCGGAUUCGAUGCACUUCACCCAGCAGUGUGAAAUUAGUGGAGCAAGAGCUGUGGCAGCGGGAAGAGAAGGGGUUGAUUGGUAUUCUUCCAGUUCGUGAUGCUGCCGAGACAACAACAGCAAUAGGCCCCGUGCUAUCUCAAGAUGUCGGAAGUGAUUCUAGUGAGAGAAGCUCGAGAGUUCACGUUGGCGCAUCUGAUUCUCACAGGCUUGAUGUCAAGAAUCAGCAGGAAAAUAUGCAUUGGCAUACCAGGGGAGUCGCAGCUCGUGCUUUACAUUUGUCAAGAGGAGUGGAGAAGCCAAGCGGUAGAGUUACAUACAUAGUCGUUCUUGAAGGUUUGUGCAGAUUCAGUGUCCAGGAACUUAGCACCAGAGGAACGUAUUACACUGCACGGAUAUCUCCUCUUGAAAUGACAAAGGCUGAGAUGGAGCAAGUGGGGCAAGAUCCAGAUUUCAUGACAUUGUCUCGUCAAUUUAAAGCAGCUGCCACAGAGUUGAUUUCUGUUCUUGAGCAGAAACAAAAAACAGAAGGAAGGACAAAAGUUCUUUUGGAGACAGUUCCUGUUCACAAAUUGGCUGAUAUCUUUGUUGCCAGCUUUGAGAUAAGUUUUGAAGAGCAACUAUCCAUGUUGGAUUCAGUUGAUCUGAAAGUAAGGCUUUCAAAAGCUACUGAAUUAGUUGAUAGGCAUUUACAGUCAAUACGUGUGGCAGAGAAGAUUACACAGAAGGUCGAGGGACAGUUAUCGAAAUCACAGAAAGAAUUCCUUUUGCGUCAGCAGAUGAGAGCUAUAAAAGAGGAGCUUGGUGAUAAUGAUGAUGAUGAGGAUGAUGUGGCUGCCUUGGAGAGAAAGAUGCAAAGUGCAGGAAUGCCUUCAAAUAUCUGGAAGCAUGCACAGAGGGAGCUAAGGCGGCUUAAAAAGAUGCAACCUCAGCAACCUGGGUAUAAUAGUUCACGUGUUUACUUGGAGCUUCUAGCCGAUCUGCCCUGGCAAAAGGCCAGUGAAGAACAUGAGUUGGAUCUGAAAGCUGCAAAAGAACAUCUUGAUAGCGACCAUUAUGGUUUAGUCAAGGUCAAACAAAGGAUUAUUGAAUAUCUAGCUGUUCGCAAGCUUAAACCAGAUGCAAGAGGUCCAGUAUUGUGCUUUGUUGGCCCACCAGGUGUUGGGAAAACAUCUUUGGCUUUAUCUAUUGCUGCUGCUUUGGGCAGAAAGUUUAUACGCAUAUCCCUUGGUGGUGUUAAGGACGAGGCUGAUAUUAGAGGGCAUAGGAGAACAUACAUUGGUAGCAUGCCUGGGCGUCUGAUUGAUGGCUUAAAGAGAGUAGCAGUUUGUAAUCCGGUCAUGCUGCUGGAUGAGAUUGACAAAACAGGUUCUGAUGUGCGUGGGGAUCCGGCUUCAGCUCUACUGGAGGUUCUUGAUCCAGAACAGAACAAUGCAUUUAAUGAUCACUAUUUGAAUGUUCCAUUUGACCUUUCAAAGGUGGUUUUUGUGGCAACUGCAAAUAGGCUGCAGCCUAUACCUCCACCACUCUUAGACAGGAUGGAAGUCAUUGAGUUGCCUGGAUAUACACCUGAAGAAAAGCUUAAAAUAGCCAUGCGACAUUUAAUUCCCAGAGUUCUGGAGCAGCAUGGGUUGAGUUCUGAGUUACUUCAAAUUCCAGAGGCUAUGGUGAAACAUGUCAUUCAGCGGUACACCAGAGAGGCUGGUGUCAGGAAUCUCGAAAGGAGCUUGGCUGCCUUAGCUCGUGCAGCGGCAGUGAGAGUUGCAGAGCAGGAGCAAGCUGUCCCGCUAAGCAAAGAUGUGCACCGGCUUGCUUCGCCACUGCUGGAAAACCGACUUGCUGAUGGAGGUGAAGUGGAAAUGGAGGUCAUUCCAAUGGCUGUAAAUAAUCAUGAGAUAUCAAGUGCAUUUAGGAUUGCUUCACCCUUGGUUGUGGAUGAGGCUAUGCUGGAAAAAGUACUGGGGCCUCCAAGGUUUGAUGAUAGAGAAGCAGCAGAGAGGGUUGCAACUCCUGGGGUAUCUGUUGGGCUUGUUUGGACUGCGUUUGGUGGAGAGGUCCAGUUUGUAGAGGCUACAGCUACGGUGGGAAAGGGAGAAUUACAUCUCACUGGGCAACUCGGUGAUGUUAUCAAAGAAUCAGCACAAAUAGCACUAACAUGGGUAAGAGCUAGGGCGACCGAUCUUAAAUUAGCAGCUUCUGAAGGAAUCAGUCUCUUGGAGGGCCGGGAUGUUCAUAUACAUUUUCCUGCUGGGGCUGUCCCUAAAGAUGGACCUUCAGCAGGUGUGACUUUGGUAACAGCACUGGUUUCACUAUUCAGUCAGAAAAGAAUGAGAGCAGAUACGGCAAUGACUGGAGAGAUGACUUUAAGGGGUCUUGUCCUACCUGUUGGAGGUGUCAAGGAUAAGAUUUUGGCAGCACACCGUUGUGGUGUCAAGAGAGUUAUCCUGCCAGAGAGAAAUUUGAAAGACUUGGUUGAAGUACCAACUGAAGUUCUUGCCAAUAUGGAGAUACUACUUGCUAAGCAAAUGGAAGAUGUGUUGGAGCAGGCUUUUGAAGGUGGGUGCCCUUGGAGACAACACUCAAAGUUAUGACAGGACCCUCAAGGCAUGUUAAGGAAACAAAAUCGCUGGUGAUGAAAUUUCUGUGCUGUGGCCACUUCUUUCGGCCCACAAGAUUCCCUCCCGUUCAGCAUGCAGCUGCCUUUGGUAAUUGGGGACCGGAAAAUUAACUCGACUACAUCAGACUCUAGCAGAAGGGAAUUCUAACUUGAUGUGGAGAGACUCAAUGAUCGGUGUUUCUUUCGGGGCUUUGGAUGGAAUUCUUCCAAUGUACUACUAUCUCCUCUCAAAUAGUUAAUCUCUGAUUAUUGUGGCUUUCGCUGCAGGCUGGGUGGUAGACAAAUAUAAUUUGCAUCCAAGUAUACUAUACUUUUUUUCGUAAAAAAAUGGGCCAUGGGCAGAAAUGGGAAGCCAAGCUAUGAGGAACAUUGAAAUUAAAGCUGUUUAUGGAGGCAGCAGGCCCUGUAUGAGGGGUUCUUAAAGGAGCAUCAGGACCUAAGAUGGCUGCUCAGUUUCAGAGGGAUUGAGGAGCCUCAAAUGCAGUGAACGCUAGUAGACAUAUACUGUUAUCUGGUCACAGAAAUGUGUCUAAAAUUUGGUUAGUUUGAUUUUAUGAAACAUCAUUGAAAUGGAUUGGAACUAAGCUAUUCUAAAAAAUAGAGUUGACUUGGUUCUGUUAGAUAGGUUUUAUGAUUUCGAAUAGCCGCCAUGGUGAAAUUGGUAGACAGGCUGCUCUUAGAAAGCACUGCUAGAGCAUCUCUGUUCGAGUCCUAGUGGCGGCAUGGCAUCUUAUAAAAGAGUAGAGUCCUAAUAUGAAUUUGAAUACCAACUUCCAUUUCUAUAAUUGGGAGAUUAUUCUCUUUAUAUAUCUGGCCUAUACUUAAAAGCGCCUAUAACAUCUACAGUAAUG